RNAcentral lists this ribosomal RNA (863 nucleotides) under Pseudomonas rhodesiae. Its description in RNAcentral is "bacterial SSU rRNA". It matches the Rfam family "Bacterial small subunit ribosomal RNA", at positions 56 to 914 of the family's 1533-position model. Lineage: Bacteria; Pseudomonadati; Pseudomonadota; Gammaproteobacteria; Pseudomonadales; Pseudomonadaceae. The record is from RNAcentral.
UGCAAGUCGAGCGGUAGAGAGAAGCUUGCUUCUCUUGAGAGCGGCGGACGGGUGAGUAAUGCCUAGGAAUCUGCCUGGUAGUGGGGGAUAACGUUCGGAAACGGACGCUAAUACCGCAUACGUCCUACGGGAGAAAGCAGGGGACCUUCGGGCCUUGCGCUAUCAGAUGAGCCUAGGUCGGAUUAGCUAGUUGGUGGGGUAAUGGCUCACCAAGGCGACGAUCCGUAACUGGUCUGAGAGGAUGAUCAGUCACACUGGAACUGAGACACGGUCCAGACUCCUACGGGAGGCAGCAGUGGGGAAUAUUGGACAAUGGGCGAAAGCCUGAUCCAGCCAUGCCGCGUGUGUGAAGAAGGUCUUCGGAUUGUAAAGCACUUUAAGUUGGGAGGAAGGGCCGUUACCUAAUACGUGAUGGUUUUGACGUUACCGACAGAAUAAGCACCGGCUAACUCUGUGCCAGCAGCCGCGGUAAUACAGAGGGUGCAAGCGUUAAUCGGAAUUACUGGGCGUAAAGCGCGCGUAGGUGGUUUGUUAAGUUGGAUGUGAAAUCCCCGGGCUCAACCUGGGAACUGCAUUCAAAACUGACUGACUAGAGUAUGGUAGAGGGUGGUGGAAUUUCCUGUGUAGCGGUGAAAUGCGUAGAUAUAGGAAGGAACACCAGUGGCGAAGGCGACCACCUGGACUGAUACUGACACUGAGGUGCGAAAGCGUGGGGAGCAAACAGGAUUAGAUACCCUGGUAGUCCACGCCGUAAACGAUGUCAACUAGCCGUUGGGAGCCUUGAGCUCUUAGUGGCGCAGCUAACGCAUUAAGUUGACCGCCUGGGGAGUACGGCCGCAAGGUUAAAACUCAAAUGAAUUGAC